GGGGGGGGGGGGGGGGGGGGGUGGCGCAGGCAGGUCGGGGGGGGGAAGGGAGCUUGCUCCUGGGUUCAGCGGCGGACGGGUGAGUCGUGCCUAGGAAUCUGCCUGGUAGUGGGGGAUAACGUCCGGAAACGGGCGCUACUACCGCGUACGUCCUGAGGUGGAAAGUGGGGGAUCUUCGGACCUCACGCUAUCAGAUGAGCCUAGGUCGGAUUAGUUAGUUGGUGGGGUAAAGGCCUACCAAGGCGACGAUCCGUAACUGGUCUGAGAGGAUGAUCAGUCACACUGGCACUGAGGCACGGGCCCGACUCCUACGGGAGGCAGCAGUGGGGAAUAUUGGACAAUGGGCGAAAGCCUGAUCCAGCCAUGCCGCGUGUGUGAAGAAGGUCUUCGGAUUGUAAAGCACUUUAAGUUGGGAGGAAGGGCAGUAAGUUAGUACCUUGCUGUUUUGACGUUACCAACAGAAUAAGCACCGGCUAACUUCGUG
RNAcentral lists this ribosomal RNA (484 nucleotides) under uncultured bacterium. Its description in RNAcentral is "partial 16S ribosomal RNA". It matches the Rfam family "Bacterial small subunit ribosomal RNA", at positions 38 to 507 of the family's 1533-position model. The record is from RNAcentral.